Long non-coding RNA from Caretta caretta (loggerhead turtle), 3203 nucleotides. RefSeq lists it as uncharacterized. NCBI's taxonomy places the organism in Eukaryota, Metazoa, Chordata, Testudines, Cheloniidae. The record is from RefSeq and is a predicted model, not a curated record.
GAACUGGGGUGGACUGUUCCCUGGGCCGCGGGAGCUGUUCGCUGCGGCCCGCCCCCUAUAGACACGGUGCGAGGGCCGUACACCGAGCGCAGCCGCCACCGGGGCCAGGGCUGUGGAACAGGCGUGUCCCCGGGGGCUGACCCGGCCGAGGGGGUGGGGUGCCUGGGUUCCCCGAGCCAAGCGCUGGGGCAGGGCGCCUGGCAGCGGUGCCCGCUCCGAGCGUCUAAAGAUCACGAGACUGGCCCCAGGAUCCCGGGGGUUUGCAAGGGACACCAGUCAGGGUGGGUGAUUUUGGCCCCAAAGCAGACACGCUGCUUGGACCCGAGAUCAAACUGCAGAGUUGUGCCCACGCUAUAAAAUGCUGCUGGGUGGGGCGGAGUGCCCAGCCUGAACCCGGCCCUGAACAAUUCGAAUGAGUUAACCUGGUGCCCCAGGUCUGCCCAGCCGGGAAUUGUACAACGCCGGCCAGUGACGCGUUUGGCCCUCACUACUCUCCGACUCCUGCAGUUCUAGUGCUUCUCCACAUCCCCUUCCGGGUCUGAAAUGGGAGGCAGAUCCUGGGGCUCUUCUCCCCUUUCCCAGACCUGGAUUGCAGGGGUGAAGAUAGAGGGCAUCGAGCCGACCAACCAGUUUAUUACAGGGGACUGAAUUUGGAAGGUGACCUGACUGGAGGACUGGGACCUGGAAGCUGCGGUAAAAUCAGCUUGGCAAAUAGCAGUCCUGAUUAUAAGAACUCCUGCAACACCAUGUCCUGGCUUGAGGGGUUCUGUGAUGACACCACCACCAAGCGGCUGAAGCACUGAUCAAAGGGGAGAGCCAGGCUGAAGGGCAACCAGCCAGCCUGGGGUGAGAAGCAUCUAAGUUUGUAAUGGCACGGAAAGUGUUAAGAUCAGCUUAGAAUGUGCUUUGCUUUUAUUUCAUUUGACCAAAUCUGACUUCUUGUGCUUUGGCAUAUAAUCACUUAAAAUCUGUCUUUUGUAGUUGUUAAAUUCGUUUGUUUUAUCCUACCUGAAGCAGUGCGUUUGUUCUGAAGCGUGUCAGAGACUCCUCUUGGGAUAACAAGCCUGGGGGACCCUGAGGAGGCUGUCGCCCGUCGCUGGAAUCCUACCGGUGUCCUGCUGGCUGCCAGCUCCGGUCCCGUGGCCCCAGAGGCUGAAGCAGAAAAUGUCACGGAGGUCUCUAGAAGUCAUGACUUCCGUGACAUAAACGUAGUCUUAAUUAAACACGCUGAUGCUGUACACUGGUGUGCUCAAACUGGGGGUUGGGACCCCUCGGGGUCACGAGGUUAUUACAUGGUGGGGAUUGCAAGCUGUCACUCUCCACCCCAAAUGCAUCCAGCAUUUAUAAUGGUGUUAAAUAUAUUUAAAAGGUUUUUUAAUUUAUAAGGGGGGGUCACACUCAGGGGCUAGCUAUGAGAAAGGGGUCACCAGUAGAAAAUUCUGAGAACCACUGUGCACACUGAAGACUAACACAUUACUCUUAAUCACAUAAGAAGUACAGAUUUAUACAAAAAUAAAUUCUACAUACAUUUAUACAAGAAUAAUGUUUACUCUAGAGCAUUCUUUGGGCUUGGGUCAGUGACCUUUGGGCCUAUCCCAAGUCCUCCUUUAGCGCUUGGCUUGUGUUCUCCUUAGAUCAGUUUGCUUCCUUUGCCUUGGCCUAUCUGACUCCUUCCUACCUCCUGUCUGAACUUUCUGUGUCUCACCCUGAGCUCCCUUGCAUGGUUCUGUGAGUGAGUUUAUAUAUCCUCCGCUUGGCUUCUUUGUUCUGUGUUUGGUAAUUUUCCACUUUCCAAACUCCAGCACCCUGCAAACUGGGUUUUCUGGGCAGGAGCCAAUUUUUAUUCCAAACUGUUUCCACCUUAUGGGUGGUUGCUGAGUUCUAACAACCCACCAUUGUUCCCACACUGGCAGAGACAUGAUGCAGUCUUGCAAGCUCAUGGUAGAUAUCCACAAACAGAUGGGAGCCUUCAUGAUACAACAGUUUUCAUAGUAAUGUCCUCAUAUCAGCCUGAAUUCAUAAACUUCACAGACAGAUACUUUGUGAUGAUUUGGGGAUCUGUUAUGCUUAGAUAAUCCUUGUGUAGCAUCUCUCGGGUGUGUUGUGUGGAAUUACAGAGAGGUUGGACUAUAAAGUCACUUUCUCUUUCUGUCUCACUCUCUCACAGUUGAGCAAUUAUUGAGCCAGAGAGAACGAGGAUGACUCUAUAAUCCAGUAGUUAGAGCAUACACAAGGGAGGCAGGAGUCCCCGAUUCUAUCACUUUCAUUAUUUAUCCAUAGCAAAACAGCUUCAGGAAACACUGAGGCAGCUCACAUCAAAAUAUCCCAUAUUAAAGUGGUUAGAGCAUCUCUCCUGAGAGGUGGGAGGCCCUGGUUCAAACCCUUUCCUGAUAGGAAGAGAGCGUAAUUGAACCUGGGUCUUCUUUAUCCCAGGUGAGUGCUCUGGCUACUGGGCUAACCAUUAUUAGGUGCUGCUGGUGGCCGGAUAUUAAAUAGGACCAGACCUGGGAGGCAAUGAAGGAACUUUUAUGCUGUAAGCUUACUCACUGACUGAGUUUAAUGGCUGGCCACCAAUAUCUGCAACUGGAACAAACUGGCAAUGAAGAAAAGGCCUUUGAUUGCAUUCCAGGGUGGGUAGAACUGCACCAAUACAGGGCCUGAUCUUCUUGUGCAGUGCAACUAAUUAGAGCCAACAGGAGGGCUCUUCUGCCACUCAAUCAUCUUGCUACUAGCAUAGGAGGGAAAAGAGGGCAUAGGCAAAGGAAGAGUGACAUGGCUAGGAUGCCCUUGCAUUACAUUCAUGCCUGACUGCAUUUUAAGCCCCUUGUGGUUGGUAUCGCAUAGGGUAAAUUAGAGCAGCUAUUUCAUUGUUCUGUAAGAAAGGGGAGGGGAACUAGUCAGCACAGUUCAGCAGCAGGAUCAGGGAAGAGCAGAGGUGAAUUUUAAGCCACCUAUUCACACACCCUGAUUUGCAUCCUGUGCAGUUUUGGCUCACUCCAGGAUUUGGUCCAGUCUCCUGAUAAAUCCAAACAUCUUAAAUGUUACUGCCUUCACAGCCUGCUGCGUUGAUGGUACCUUUGGACAAGACAAUGAGGGCACAUUUACAAUUUCUGUUAAUUGCAAAAAGCAAUAGACUUUUACAUUAGCAUUUUUCUGUCAUGAUGUUAGUAGUAAUCAUUUUAUUAAAUCUCUUGCUUAUUCAA